Pelobates cultripes (western spadefoot toad) is the source of this 220-nucleotide non-coding RNA. NCBI's taxonomy places the organism in Eukaryota, Metazoa, Chordata, Amphibia, Anura, Pelobatidae. The record is from the annotation of a GenBank genome assembly.
CCCAGACCUACAUUUUGAUGCAUAGUUUGUCUCUGAAGUAUUAAAAAUGAAGGCACAGUCGCAGUUUAGAAAUUGCACUUCAAAUUUGAGCUUUGUAGAGUGAAGUUUCAAUGAAUGUCAAUGGACGGCGUUGGUUGCAAACAAAUGGUCAUAUUGUGAAAACUAUCAGGACUACGGCUUAGCCGUUUACAUGUUUAGUGGCAGCAGGGAUAGCUGAACG